AUCGCUUCUCGGCCUUUUGGCUAAGAUCAAGUGCAGAGAAGGGAGAAAGGGCUUUGAGAGCCAGGAGACAUCCUCCCAGCAGCUGCUAAAAUGUGGAUGUUGCUACUGUUUUUUUUUUUUUUUUUUUUUUAAACGGAGUCUUGCUCUAUCGCCCAGGCUAGAGUGCAGUGGCGAGAUCUCGGCUCACUGCAACCUUU
RNAcentral lists this small nuclear RNA (197 nucleotides) under Nomascus leucogenys (northern white-cheeked gibbon). RNAcentral describes it as "U2 spliceosomal RNA". It matches the Rfam family "U2 spliceosomal RNA". From Rfam's summary of the family: U2 is a small nuclear RNA (snRNA) component of the spliceosome (involved in pre-mRNA splicing). Complementary binding between U2 snRNA (in an area lying towards the 5' end but 3' to hairpin I) and the branchpoint sequence (BPS) of the intron results the bulging out of an unpaired adenosine, on the BPS, which initiates a nucleophilic attack at the intronic 5' splice site, thus starting the first of two transesterification reactions that mediate splicing. The record is from Rfam by way of RNAcentral. Lineage: Eukaryota; Metazoa; Chordata; Mammalia; Primates; Hylobatidae.